AUGAACAUGCUGCUAUUUUACAUUUUAAAUACUAGUCAGAAGCUCAGAUUUAACUAACUUUCAUUAAUGUAAUUGAAGAGCAAAACAAUAUGUCAUGAUGUAGGCAUAACUCACUAAAACCUUUCUUUUUUACAAAGAGAGACAGAAAAUGAUUACAAGUAAUGCCCCCAUCAAUCGGAGCAAUCCUGUUGAGUCCAGCAAAACUCAUUUAAGACUACUAUAGUUUGAUAUACAUCAAGUAGAGUAGGUACUUUUUUAUGCCAAAUGAUACCACUAAUGCUGACAGUGCAAUGUUCAAGAGAAAGAUCCUUUUAGUUUGUAGAGAAGAUGGAGAACACCUUUGAUUGUUCUGAACAGUGGGCCUUCUUGACCAAACUUACUACUGUGUUGAUCACAGUAAGAUCCUGACUCUGACAAAUCUCUGCAUUAUUGGACUGAGUACCUAUGCUCUGACAUUACUGCCUCUUGUUUCUUGUUUCUUUUUACUUGAUAACAGUUUGAAUCAAAUUUGUUUAGCCACUCUGAUUAUAACAUCACAAAUCAAUAUUAGUGUAUGUGGAGAUACCAUGUCAACUCUGAAGUUAUUAGAAAAGUAUUUACUAUUUAGGAAGCUAAACUGCAAAGAAUCAAAGGUAGAUAAAAAUGGUCACUUGAUUCAAAAGUAAUUAGAAAGCUACUAGCCAAGUUUAGUAGUUGGCUAAAUGCAGUCUUUUGAGUAGUCAGAGAAGUCGAACAUCCUAAAAGGCCUGUGGACAUACAUAACCAAUACUAAUUGAAUUGCUAAAACUCAUGUGAAGUAAAUAGCACUACCAUGCCUCUGGUGCUAAUCUGGCACAAGAAAUUUGCCCAAAGGCUUGUUGAUGAGAUUUUGUCAUCAUAAAGCUUCAAAAACCACAGAAUUUUUCCUUUAACACUGUGUUGGAUGACAUUGAAGGGAGACACAAGAAUGUGCUUCUUAUGUCAGAAUAAAAUGUCAGUGACAGAUCUCCAACCCAUAUUUACUUUUCUCUCUUUCUCUCCCUCUCUCUCUUAGUAGAUGAAAUGUUCAUGAGAUGCUCUCUUUAGAAUCAUAGCAAUGCAAUAACUUGCAACAAAUGUUUCCAAUUAAUAAAUCUUCAGUACAGGAUUUGUAGUCUGAUUUGAAUUGUGUGGCAAAUUUUGUGUACCAAAUGUCAACUAAUAUGUAACUAUUAUGACAUUUGGCAUUUGGAACUUGAUAUCUAAUACAAGUGAAUAUAUGUAUAUUAGCAAGCAACCUCUACUUGCAGAGGAAUCAUAGAUAACAACAUUGAGAAAGUGAGAUUAAUCAAAUCAUAACCAUUAAUAACAAAUGCUUCCCAUUUUGGAAUCAUGUGAUCCUUUUUAUUUCAGAAUAUUUGUAUUUAUUAUAAUUCAAAAAAAUAUUUCUUUCCUCUCUUCUUUCAUGGUUUAAUUGUCUUACCUGUUUUGAGCAGCAUGUACGCCGAGUUACGAUCCUCCGCGGAGGAUGAUAACCCGCAACAGGCAGUGGAGCAGUUCUUCGCACUAUUCGGUACCCUCACCCGCGCCGGCCUCGUCGCUGACUCCCUCUUCAAACUCGCUGUAACCUCACCGACCGACCCGCUGGGUGGUGACCCGACCAUGGAGGAGGCUCUCCGCGUCUCCGGGGUCCACCGGAAGCUCGCCGCUGCUUGGAUCCACACCGCCAUCGCCACCGACCUCUCCGCGUUCUCCCUCUACGGCCCCGGCGCUUCUCCUUCGAAGCAUCGGGGGACAACGGUCUCGGUGGUCCUCGAAGCCCCGCGCAAACCCGCAUCCCCUUUAAAGCCCACGUCUUCCUCCACUUCGUCCGCCCCCACCGCCGUUUCUCAGAUCAAGCAGCGCUCCUCGGCUUCGAUCCAGAAGCCCCGGGCGCCUCCGCCGCUCCCCCCGCCGCGAGAGUGGGUGAGCGGGCAAGGCGUGGCGGAGGUGGCGGCGGUCGGGCGAGCGCUGAGGCGGGAGGUGAGGGGGUGGUUCCUAGGGUUCGUGGAGCGGUUCUUGGACGCCGACGCGGCGGCCGCGGACGGGCCACGCGACCGCGACCUGGUGGCGGGGACGCUGUCGCAGCUGAAGAGGGUGAACGACUGGCUAGACGGCGUCGGGGAGAGGGGCGGCGACGGGAUGGCGGAGGACGGCGGCGUUCCACCGGAGACGAUCGAGCGGUUGAGGAGGAAGAUCUUCGACUACCUCAUCGCGCACGUCGAGUCGGCCGCCGUGGCGCUGGGCGGUGGCCGACAUGGCGUGCCGGCGUCGUCGUCAUCGCGCACCUCGUCCGUGCACGAAUCACGGAGCGCGAACAGGUACUAAAUUGCAACGGGUCACGUGGAGCGAUGCUAAGCAAUCUUAAUUCGUCUUUGGUGUCUGAAGGCCGUCAGCUGAUACAAUCACUGGAGGGCAAGUGGCCGUCCACAAUAUGAAGAUAUGUAUAUUUUGUUGCUCAAUAUCCUAUUUAUUUUCCACCCCAAAAAAUAUAUUAGAUAUUAUUAACACUCUUCCGACAUCCACCUGUAUAGCUCACAAAUAAGAUUGGUUUUUUGAGAGAGUUGAUGAUGACAAAAAAAUGUAUCUGAAUGAACGAAUUGUAGCCAAAGAUUCUGAUCAUAUUAAAUAUUAUUAUUAUUAUGCUCGUGUCUUCCUAUGUUAGUCUAUAAUUAUGUAUAUGCUGAAAUAAAUAAAACCGUAUUUAAAGUUCGAU
This 2713-nucleotide long non-coding RNA is filed under the name Musa acuminata (dwarf banana). RNAcentral describes it as "long non-coding RNA (MACU_LNC005045)". Lineage: Eukaryota; Viridiplantae; Streptophyta; Magnoliopsida; Zingiberales; Musaceae. The record is from RNAcentral.